This 450-nucleotide ribosomal RNA is filed under the name uncultured bacterium. Its description in RNAcentral is "partial 16S ribosomal RNA". It matches the Rfam family "Bacterial small subunit ribosomal RNA", at positions 354 to 796 of the family's 1533-position model. The record is from RNAcentral.
GUGGGGAAUAUUCCACAAUGGACGAAAGUCUGAUGGAGCAACGCCGCGUGAGUGAAGAAGGGUUUCGGCUCGUAAAGCUCUGUUGUCGGGGACGAAUGUGCAGUAUUUGAAUAAAGUACUGCAAUGACGGUACCUGACGAGGAAGCCACGGCUAACUACGUGCCAGCAGCCGCGGUAAUACGUAGGUGGUAAGCGUUGUCCGGAAUUAUUGGGCGUAAAGGGAGCGCAGGCGGGAAGGUAAGUCGGUCUUAAAAGUGCGGGGCUCAACCCCGUGAUGGGAUCGAAACUAUCUUUCUUGAGUGCAGGAGAGGAAAGUGGAAUUCCUAGUGUAGCGGUGAAAUGCGUAGAUAUUAGGAGGAACACCAGUGGCGAAGGCGACUUUCUGGACUGUAACUGACGCUGAGGCUCGAAAGCCAGGGGAGCGAACGGGAUUAGAUACCCUUGUAGUCC